Vicugna pacos (alpaca) is the source of this 1752-nucleotide non-coding RNA. NCBI's taxonomy places the organism in Eukaryota, Metazoa, Chordata, Mammalia, Artiodactyla, Camelidae. The record is from RefSeq and is a predicted model, not a curated record.
CCAGCCUUGGCCUUUGAUUGGCCCAGCCCUCACCAGAGCUGCUUCGACAUUGGUCGGCUCGUCUUCCUCUCCUCUGCCUCCCCGAGGCUUCCGCUUCCUAUUCUGACGGACGCUCCGGCCGUAACGAUGAUCGGGGAUAUCCUGCUGUUUGGGACGCUGCUGAUGAACGCCGGGGCGGUCCUCAACUUUAAGCUGAAAAAGAAGGACACGCAGGGCUUUGGUGAGGAGUCGAGGGAGCCCAGCACAGGUGACAACAUCCGGGAGUUCUUGCUGAGCCUCAGAUACUUCCGUAUCUUCAUCGCCCUCUGGAAUGUCUUCAUGAUGUUCUGCAUGAUUGUUCUGCACUUUGGUGUCACGCUUUCUGCUUUCAAAGUAAGAACUCUCCACACUUGAGAGGAAACCGGGAUCUACAAGAGUUAAACGAUGUCACCUCGGUCCGGGCUGGAGCUUCGAUGGGAACAUGGCAUCCUCCAAGUCCUGGCUGUGCCUGGUGCCUUGGCAGGGGCUGCCAGGAGUAGCCUGUUCCCGAGCCCGUGGCCCUGUUACCUCUCACCAGCUGUGUUGUGCUUAGCCUAUACUUGGCAUUGGCCAGAAUGGAAAAUAUGGCUUGAAGGGCCAGUGUGUUGCUGGAUCUUGUUCCCACCCUGCUGGAAGCCAGCAGAAGCUCUUUGGCUCCUGAGCUCCAGAUACGGAACCAGGAACACACCUUCUCAGAUGCCGAGUCUCCCUGCCUCCGUUCCUGAUGACUUCAAGAAUGUUUUUGACCAGAAGAAUGGUGACCUUCGCAGAAAGCCCAAACUCGUGGUGGGUGGAAAAAAUGUUCACCACGAUGCACAGCCACACCACUGUUUUCUUUUCAAAGAUAUUUUCACUCUGAUCCCUGCAUUGAAAUGCUGUCGACUUACGGAAUUUGAGGAGGGUUUACGCAAGGGGCUGUGAUAACAUUGCCUUCCGCAAAGAUAAAAGAACCUACCUAGAUUGUUGAAUCAGAUUAGAAUCCCUCUUCUGCCAGGCUUUCACUGGAAAUCAAUUUCUGGGUGUUGCUUGGUUUAUUUUUAGUAACCAUCCUUUUUGAUUCAAAUGAUACAGGUUUUUAAAAAAUCUUUUUUAUUCAGGGAUCUGAAGCAGAAAGGUCGCCAUUUAAGUUUGAUGCAGCCUCUUAUGGGACUGCAUUUAUGAGGAAUGAGCAAGUUCAUUGUUGCUGAGUCUGUGUCCAAGUUCCUUCCCAUCCCACUGGGCUCUGCUCAGCCACUCUGUGCCACUGAGGGUGUCCCCAGGUCUUUAAGGGUGAAGUAUUGCUGAUUCCCAUGGAGGAGAGGUGCAGAACAGUUGACGAGGCAGAUGGAGGUUUUAUGAGAAAUUUUGUCUUGCCUUGAAACUCUCCAGUAAAGUAAUUUUGGGGGCCAGUAAUUAUACAGUUUCUAGAACAAGAGUGAUUUAUGUGGUAAUAUUGGGACCCAAUUUGGAAAGCUUGGGUUUUGGGGUCUGCUUUUUAGGUGGGUGAUUUCAAAGUUGAAAAACGAUAAGACUCAUUGGAGGAAGUACAGCAUUUUGCACAGAAGCCUCUUUGAAAGGGAGUCCCAGUUGAAUCACCAAAAUGACACCCUGAGGGUCAGCUCCCUGACCCCACUGUGUUUAAUUUGUGGUGGAUUUUCAAAUCUUGACUUGUAGGGAAUGUGGGGGAGGAAAAAAUAAAUAUGCAGGCUUUUAGAACUAAACAGCAUUGAAAAUAAAAGCUCAUUUCUAAAAGGA